CCUACGGGAGGCAGCAGUAAGGAAUAUUGGACAAUGCUCGCAAGAGUGAUCCAGCCAUGCCGCGUGCAGGAAGACGGCCCUAUGGGUUGUAAACUGCUUUUGAACUAGAGAAAACCCUCCUACGUGUAGGAGGCUGAUAGUAUAGUUAGAAUAAGCAUCGGCUAACUUCGUGCCAGCAGCCGCGGUAAGACGAAGGAUGCAAGCGUUAUCCGGAUUCAUUGGGUUUAAAGGGAGCGUAGGUGGACUGAUAAGUCAGUGGUGAAAUCUCUCGGCUUAACCGAGAAAUUGCCAUUGAUACUGUUGGUCUUGAGUACAGUUGCUGUGGGCGGAAUAUGACAUGUAGUGGUGAAAUACAUAGAGAUGUCAUAGAACACCGAUUGCGAAGGCAGCUCACAAAGCUGUAACUGACACUGAGGCUCGAAAGUGCGGGGAUCAAACAGGAUUAGAUACCCUGGUAGUCCGCACCGUAAACGAUGAUUACUCGCUGCUGGGAGUAACUUUCAGUGGCUUAGCGAAAGCGAUAAGUAAUCCACCUGGGGAGUACGCCGGCAACGGUGAAACUCAAAGGAAUUGACGG
This 577-nucleotide ribosomal RNA is filed under the name uncultured bacterium. RNAcentral describes it as "bacterial SSU rRNA". It matches the Rfam family "Bacterial small subunit ribosomal RNA", at positions 338 to 916 of the family's 1533-position model. The record is from RNAcentral.